AGAAAGGUCAUUUCUAAAAACACAGUGCUGACACAGGGUUGCUGGGCCCUGAUCGAGAGCCAGUGUCUGGGGUGGGGCCAUAUGUCCAGCUGAGGUGAGCUGAAAAGGUGCCUCCAGCAGCUGAGCUUAAGCCAUGGCCUCUGCAUGCAUCUCCACACUUUGGAUUCUCUUCUCACUGAGUGGACUGAGAGCAGAGUCGGUGAGUCAGCUGGAUGAUCAGGUCACUGUCACCGAAGGGGAUCCUCUGACUGUGAAAUGCACCUAUUCAUUUUCUGGGACGCCUUACCUGUUUUGGUAUGUCCAGUAUCCCAACCAAGGACUCCAGUUCCUUCUGAAAUACAUUGCAGGGGACAACCUGGUCAAAGGCAGCUUUGGGUUUAUGGCUGAAUUUAAUAAGAGCCAAAUGUCUUUCCACCUGAAGAAACCGUCUGCCCUUGGGAGUGACUCUGCUGUGUACUUCUGUGCUGGGAGAGACACAGUGGUGGGGCUGCUGGGAGAGCUGAACACAAACCCCCAAGUACAGUAA
Molecule: non-coding RNA, 526 nt
Organism: Rhinolophus ferrumequinum (greater horseshoe bat)
Lineage: Eukaryota; Metazoa; Chordata; Mammalia; Chiroptera; Rhinolophidae
Source: the annotation of a RefSeq genome assembly